AGUGAACGCUAGUGGCGUGCUUAACACAUGCAAGUCGAACGGACGAUAUUUGUGCUUGCACAAAUAAAGUUAGUGGCAAACGGGUGAGUAAUACAUGAGAAUUUUCCUUGCAGUACGGAAUAACUAUUGGAAACAGUAGCUAAUACCGUAUAUUGCCGAGAGGUGAAAGAUUUAUCGCUGCAAGAUAAGCCCAUGCAAGAUUAGCUUGUUGGUAAGGUAAUGGCUUACCAAGGCUACGAUCUUUAGCUGGUUUGAGAGGAUGAUCAGCCACACUGGAACUUAGACACGGUCCAGACUCCUACGGGAGGCAGCAGUGGGGAAUUUUGGACAAUGGGCGAAAGCCUGAUCCAGCAAUGCCGCGUGCAGGAUGAAGGCCUUCGGGUUGUAAACUGCUUUUGUACGGAACGAAAAAGCUUCUCCUAAUACGAGAGGCCCAUGACGGUACCGUAAGAAUAAGCACCGGCUAACUACGUGCCAGCCGCCGCAGUAAAAC
This 493-nucleotide ribosomal RNA is filed under the name uncultured bacterium. RNAcentral describes it as "bacterial SSU rRNA". It matches the Rfam family "Bacterial small subunit ribosomal RNA", at positions 29 to 526 of the family's 1533-position model. The record is from RNAcentral.